CCCUGAUGCAGCGACGCCGCGUGGGUGAAGAAGCGCCUCGGCGCGUAAAGCCCUGUCAGCAGGGAAGAAAAUGACGGUACCUGAAGAAGAAGCCCGGCUAACUACGUGCC
This 110-nucleotide ribosomal RNA is filed under the name uncultured bacterium. RNAcentral describes it as "partial 16S ribosomal RNA". It matches the Rfam family "Bacterial small subunit ribosomal RNA", at positions 381 to 509 of the family's 1533-position model. The record is from RNAcentral.